RNAcentral lists this ribosomal RNA (1388 nucleotides) under uncultured organism. RNAcentral describes it as "16S ribosomal RNA". It matches the Rfam family "Bacterial small subunit ribosomal RNA". The record is from RNAcentral.
GGAUGAACGCUGGCGGCAUGCUUUACACAUGCAAGUUGAACGAAUUAAAGUUUUCGAAUUUUAGUUAAGUAGCGAACGGGUGAGUAAAACGUAAGAAUCUAUUUUUAGGUGAGGAAUAACUAAUGGAAACGUUAGCUAAUACCUUAUAAACUGAGAAGUGAAAAACUAAAAAUUGCCUAAAAGUGAGCUUGCGCCUGAUUAGCUUGUUGGUAAGAUAAUCGCUUACCAAAGCGACGAUCAGUAGUUGGUCUAAGAGGAUAAUCAACCACACUGGGACUGAGAUACGGCCCAGACCUCUACGGAGGGCAGCAGUGAGGAAUUUUCCGCAAUGGGCGAAAGCCUGACGGAGCAAUGCCGCGUGAAGGAUGAAGGCCUAUGGGUCGUAAACUUCUUUUCUUAAUGAAGAAAUAAGACGGUAAUUAAGGAAUAAGCAUCGGCUAACUCCGUGCCAGCAGCCGCGGUAAUACGGAGGAUGCAAGCGUUAUCCGGAAUUAUUGGGCGUAAAGGGUUUGUAGGCUACUUUUUAAGUCUACUGUUAAAGAAUAAGACUUAACCUUAGAAAAGCAGUAUGAAACUAAAAGGAUAGAGUUCAGUAGGGGUAGAGGGAAUUCUCGGUGUAGUAGUGAAAUGCGUAGAUAUCGAGAGGAACACCAAUAGCGAAAGCACUCUACUAGGCUGUAACUGACGCUAAGAAACGAAAGCUAGGGGAGCCAAUGGGAUUAGAUACCCCAGUAGUCCUAGCUGUAAACGAUGGAUACUAAGUAUUGGAUAAUAAAAAAUUCAGUGCUGUAGCUAACGCGUUAAGUAUCCCGCCUGGGGAGUAUGCCCGCAAGGGUGAAACUCAAAGGAAUUGACGGGGGCCCGCACAAGCGGUGGAGCAUGUGGUUUAAUUCGAUGCAACGCGAAAAACCUUACCAGGAUUUGACAUCCCAUAUUUUUUUUCUAGAAAUAGAAAAAUUGACGUGGAGACAGGUGGUGCAUGGCUGUCGUCAGCUCGUGUCGUGAGAUGUUGGGUUAAGUCCCGUAACGAGCGCAACCCUUGUCUUUAGUUCGAUAGUCUAAAGAAACUGCCGAUAAUAAAUCGGAGGAAGGUGAGGAUGACGUCAAGUCAGCAUGCCCCUUAUAUUCUGGGCGACACACGUGCUACAAUGGUUAAGACAAUGGGAUGCAAACUUGUAAAAGGAAGCUAACCUCAAAAACUUAAUCGAAGUUCGGAUUGUCGACUGAAACUCGUCGACAUGAAGCUGGAAUCGCUAGUAAUCGCCGGUCAGCCACACGGCGGUGAAUACGUUCUCGGGCCUUGUACACACCGCCCGUCACGUUAGGGAAGCUGAUUACGCCCGAAGUCAUUAAUUUAACCUUUUGGAGAAAAAUGCCGAAGGCAGAGU